RNAcentral lists this ribosomal RNA (376 nucleotides) under uncultured bacterium. Its description in RNAcentral is "bacterial SSU rRNA". It matches the Rfam family "Bacterial small subunit ribosomal RNA", at positions 773 to 1144 of the family's 1533-position model. The record is from RNAcentral.
ACGUAAUAGAUACCCGGGUAGUCCACGCCCUAAACGAUGUCUACUAGUUGUUGGUGGAGUAAAAUCCAUGAGUAAACGCAGCUAAACGCGUGAAGUAGACCGCCUGGGGAGUACGGUCGCAAGAUUAAAACUCAAAGGAAUUGACGGGGGCCCGCACAAGCGGUGGAUUAUGUGGAUUAAUUCGAUGCAACGCGAAAAACCUUACCUGGCCUUGACAUGCCACUAACGAAGCAGAGAUGCAUUAGGUGCCCGUAAGGGAAAGUGGACACAGGUGCUGCAUGGCUGUCGUCAGCUCGUGUCGCGAGAUGUUGGGUUAAGUCCCGCAACGAGCGCAACCCUUGCCAUUAAUUGCCAUCAUUUAGUUGGGCACUUUAAU